Molecule: ribosomal RNA, 458 nt
Filed under: uncultured bacterium
Lineage: Bacteria
Description: partial 16S ribosomal RNA
Rfam family: Bacterial small subunit ribosomal RNA
Source: RNAcentral
AACGAACGCUGGCGGCAGGCCUAACACAUGCAAGUCGAGCGCGCCCUCCGGGGUGAGCGGCGGACGGGUGAGUAACGCGUGGGAACGUGCCCUUUUCUACGGAAUAGCCUCGGGAAACUGAGAGUAAUACCGUAUACGCCCUUUGGGGGAAAGAUUCAUCGGAAAAGGAUCGGCAGGCGUUGGAUUAGGUAGUUGGUGGGGUAAUGGCCCACCAUGGCGACGAUACGUAGCUGGUUUGAGAGGAUGAUCAGCCACACUGGGACGGAGACAGGGUCCAGACGCCGACGGGAGGCAGCAGUGGGGAAGAUUGGACAAUGGGCGCAAGCGUGAUCCAGACAUACCGCGUGGGUGAAGAAGGCCUUGGGGUUGGAAAGCACUUUUGUUGGGAAAGAAAAGCAGCAGGUUAAUACCCCGCUGUUCUGACGGUACCCAAAGAAUAAGCACCGGCUAACUUCGUG